Poecilia latipinna (sailfin molly) is the source of this 324-nucleotide long non-coding RNA. RefSeq lists it as uncharacterized. The transcript has 2 exons. The record is from RefSeq and is a predicted model, not a curated record. NCBI's taxonomy places the organism in Eukaryota, Metazoa, Chordata, Actinopteri, Cyprinodontiformes, Poeciliidae.
UUCAAAGAUAGGUUUGUCAGUUUCCCUAAAGAGACGGUGUUUGACAAAGAGUUGCUCCCACAAUCGCAACGUAUCUGUGACGUCACGUGUUUGCCCGGGAGACAGCAGUAUGGCGUCUUGUCUGGAUCUUAUCAUAACAAGGUAAGUUCCCCAAAGCUAUUAAAACAUGCUCUUUAUGUUCUCUCUUUAAUGUAUUUAUGUAAUGUAAUGGUGAUGUAUUGUCUCAAUGUUUGUAACUCCCUGGCGGACAUUAUACCACAAUGUAUGCUGCGUUUAUACUGUUAUGUAUUCUGUAUCUCAAUAAAGAUCUAUUUUAAAAAAAAA